AUUUCCUUCUCCAAUAUGAAAUCCCUAGUAGAAUUAGAGAUGAACUUAGCAGAAAGGAGAUCCCUAGUGCUGUUCGAGAAGGACUUAAAAGAGAUACCUACAUUCCCUAUUUCAUGACAUUGUUGAACAUGGAAGAAAUACAAUUGGAGGAAGACAUGAGAGCUUAUGAUAUGGAGCGUGUUACUAUGAGAAGAAAGGGACAUAACUUUUUGUCCCUCGAGGUUCCGGGGCUCGCUG
This 237-nucleotide unclassified non-coding RNA is filed under the name Hevea brasiliensis (rubber tree). Lineage: Eukaryota; Viridiplantae; Streptophyta; Magnoliopsida; Malpighiales; Euphorbiaceae. The record is from RNAcentral.